Molecule: long non-coding RNA, 406 nt
Filed under: Gadus morhua (Atlantic cod)
Lineage: Eukaryota; Metazoa; Chordata; Actinopteri; Gadiformes; Gadidae
Description: lncRNA (ENSGMOG00000033796.1)
Source: RNAcentral
UGAUUGGUGAGUCAAACGGGCUAUUAAAAUAUAAUGGAGUGUAUGAACCAACAUAGAUUUUAGACCAUUUAUGACUGUUCAGGGCAUCUCUUCCUUGAUCUGUUUGGGUUAACCAUCUUCUUCUUUCACAAUAGCAACAGCGGCAGCGACCCGCCCACAAAGCUACUUCCGUUUUGGGCACUUCACACAAGGACCUCGGGGAAAAAGACAUGGGUUCUUGAAGCAGCCACAGAAGACCAUCUUGCCUUCAAGCGGUUUUCAGAAGCCAUCGAGAUGGAAACAGUGGAGGGUCCUUGGUGCGGGAGGUGAUAUGAUCAGCAGGAGGUGUUAUGACACCGCAGGGCCCUCGGGGGCCCGGCCCCAGGAAUUGGACUGGACUGAUCUGCUGCCCACAGGACGGCUGCUA